RNAcentral lists this ribosomal RNA (722 nucleotides) under Flavobacterium sp. RNAcentral describes it as "bacterial SSU rRNA". It matches the Rfam family "Bacterial small subunit ribosomal RNA", at positions 61 to 784 of the family's 1533-position model. Lineage: Bacteria; Pseudomonadati; Bacteroidota; Flavobacteriia; Flavobacteriales; Flavobacteriaceae. The record is from RNAcentral.
GUCGAGGGGUAUAGUUCUUCGGAACUAGAGACCGGCGCACGGGUGCGUAACGCGUAUGCAAUCUACCUUUCACAGAGGGAUAGCCCAGAGAAAUUUGGAUUAAUACCUCAUAGUAUUAUAGAGUGGCAUCACUUUAUAAUUAAAGUCACAACGGUGAAAGAUGAGCAUGCGUCCCAUUAGCUAGUUGGUAAGGUAACGGCUUACCAAGGCAACGAUGGGUAGGGGUCCUGAGAGGGAGAUCCCCCACACUGGUACUGAGACACGGACCAGACUCCUACGGGAGGCAGCAGUGAGGAAUAUUGGACAAUGGGCGCAAGCCUGAUCCAGCCAUGCCGCGUGCAGGAUGACGGUCCUAUGGAUUGUAAACUGCUUUUGUACAGGAAGAAACACUGGUUCGUGAACCAGCUUGACGGUACUGUAAGAAUAAGGAUCGGCUAACUCCGUGCCAGCAGCCGCGGUAAUACGGAGGAUCCAAGCGUUAUCCGGAAUCAUUGGGUUUAAAGGGUCCGUAGGCGGUUUAGUAAGUCAGUGGUGAAAGCCCAUCGCUCAACGGUGGAACGGCCAUUGAUACUGCUAAACUUGAAUUAUUAGGAAGUAACUAGAAUAUGUAGUGUAGCGGUGAAAUGCUUAGAGAUUACAUGGAAUACCAAUUGCGAAGGCAGGUUACUACUAAUGGAUUGACGCUGAUGGACGAAAGCGUGGGUAGCGAACAGGAUUAGAUA